GACGAACCGUGCGAACGUUGUUCGGAAUCACUGGGCUUAAAGGGCGCGUAGGCGGGCUGUCAAGUCUGGGGUGAAAUGCCGCGGCUCAACCGUGGAACUGCCUCAGAUACUGACGGCCUCGAGGAAGGUAGGGGCGUGCGGAACUUCCGGUGGAGCGGUGAAAUGCGUAGAUAUCGGAAGGAACACCGGUGGCGAAGGCGGCGCGCUGGACCUCUUCUGACGCUGAGGCGCGAAAGCCAGGGGAGCAAACGGG
RNAcentral lists this ribosomal RNA (253 nucleotides) under uncultured bacterium. RNAcentral's name for it is "partial 16S ribosomal RNA". It matches the Rfam family "Bacterial small subunit ribosomal RNA", at positions 524 to 776 of the family's 1533-position model. The record is from RNAcentral.